This is a long non-coding RNA of Lathyrus oleraceus (garden pea), 1543 nucleotides long. RefSeq lists it as uncharacterized. Lineage: Eukaryota; Viridiplantae; Streptophyta; Magnoliopsida; Fabales; Fabaceae. The record is from RefSeq and is a predicted model, not a curated record. The transcript is spliced from 5 exons.
AAACCAAUGAUUGGCAAUGAUUGCAGCUUAUAUAGUAGGAUCUAAGGGGCAAAUUGGAGAAUUAAAUCUGAAAUGAUUCAAUCUGCACCAUCCAGCUGGCAUUAAGUGAAGGACACAUGCUGUCAUGGAAUUGGUAUUGCACAUCGUCCGCUUUGCACUACAGCGGUCAAGCCAAGGAUUACAAAGGUUAGGCUUUGAAGCUUCAUUGCCGGUUGCAUUCGGGUUGAGAUGGCCUUGCUGCAAGCAUCGUGUUCCCAUCUGAUGGCAGGGCUCGGAGCAAUUCAGUCUCGGUUCCAAUUGCUGAUUACUCGCAAAGGAUUCUCGUAAGGUGAUCCAGUUGUAAGCUUUUCAGCAAAAGCAGACGUAGCAGUUUCAAACUUUCUUCAACAGGACGCCCUCCAGGUCGAAUGGCAUGCUGGACAAGACGAAGGCUAAGUGGUGCGUAUCCGGAGAAGACAUGAACAACAUCAUUGGGGGUUGGCUGUAUCGGUAUCUUCAACCACAAGCUCCAGAGUACAUUUUAUAGUAAGCCAAUUACUUCUUGACUCCGCAACAAUUUUGAGCUUUUAGUAUUUUACGAUGACACAUGGGACUGAGUCGCGGUGCAUCACAAUAAUGCAAGUUGAGGUGACAACACCAACAGGUGUGGGAAAAAUCCUUCUUUUCUUCAUUCUCGUAACAGGAAGAGUACAAGAAUCGACUGAAAACUCGUACUGCAUCAUGUGAAUCCCCAACAAUUGAGAUUGACCACCAUCGAUUGGAGCGAUCCGCUUGCUUCAGCAUACCUCCCAAUACCGAAGAAGCCACCGCAAUGAUGUUAGAAUGAGCAUAAACAAUGCCACUGCUAUCAGUAUUUAUGCGAACCUCGGCCUUGUAACCUUCAUUGAAAAGACGCUUCCACAAAUCUCUUGUAGCAGUAGGGACACAGCUGCUUCGCCGUCUGGGUGCUAAAUUGUUCAUCACCACAUACUUGCAAGGAUAACCUGUUGCUGCUGGUAGUAGUUGUAGGACUGUCAUGGCUGUUAUAUUAUGUGGUGUUUUAGGCACAGGUCUAUGGCAGGUUAGUCAUGGCUGUUCUGCAGCAUGGCUGCAACUUCGAACUUAUGACCAACGCAGGUAGCGUACACUGGCCGGUGGAAUGGUUUCGAGAUGCUCACUUUGGUCCAACCUUUUCCUGAUUCUGCACAGCAGGGUUGGAUCCUGUUGGAUGCUGCAGAUGCUGCCGGUAAAUUGAAUAUGCUGCUGGAUGUUGUGUUGGCCUGUUGUAAAUGCAGGUUGUUCAUGAUGGUGGUCGUGAGGCCCAUACAAGUCUGCAACAGGUCAUGGUGGUAUGGAUGAGCAAACAUGGCUAAGUAAAGGGUUGGACCUGGCACGGCAUAACAGUGGAAUUUUUGAAGUCACAAAAGUCAAACCAAGGAUCAACAUAGGGCUGAGACAUAGGGUUAGGAUCAGAGAUUAUGGACUUAGGAUUUUUUGGGAUGGGGUUGACUUUGGUCAAAGUUGACCAAAAAGUCAACCGUUGACCAAAGUCAACCUUGGUCAA